RNAcentral lists this unclassified non-coding RNA (344 nucleotides) under soil metagenome. RNAcentral describes it as "partial contains 5.8S ribosomal RNA, internal transcribed spacer 2, and large subunit ribosomal RNA". The stretch from base 1 to 119 matches the Rfam family "5.8S ribosomal RNA", at positions 35 to 154 of the family's 154-position model. The record is from RNAcentral.
GAUGAAGAACGUAGCGAAAUGCGAUACGUAAUGUGAAUUGCAGAAUUCAGUGAAUCAUCGAGUCUUUGAACGCACAUUGCGCCCCUUGUAUUCCGGGGGGCAUGCCUGUCCGAGCGUCAUUGCUGCCCUCAAGCACGGCUUGUGUGUUGGGCCUCCGUCCUCCUCCCGGGGGACGGGCCCGAAAGGCAGCGGCGGCACCGCGUCCGGUCCUCGAGCGUAUGGGGCUUCGUCACCCGCUCUUGUAGGCCCGGCCGGCGCUUGCCGACACAUCAAUCUUUUUUCCAGGUUGACCUCGGAUCAGGUAGGGAUACCCGCUGAACUUAAGCAUAUCAAUAAGCGGAGGA